CAAACCCCUAUCUAGUUAGUGUGCUUCUUAGAAUACAAAUAGAAUUACAAAAUGUUUCAGUAAUCAAAAAGGGACAGCAUCGGCAAACAGUUGACAUCAAAAUUGUCUGCUCAUCAAAGAGGAAUGACAGAUCCUCCUUCAUCAACAUGUUUUCCUUAGGAAUGGUGCCAGGAUGCAGGGCAUAAGUGAGAGGACAGUUCCCUUGGUUAUGAGGUAACUAAAAAUAGCCACCUUUGAAAGCCAUCAGAGGUCACUUGUUUUGAAGAAAAUCAUCAGAAGAACUUUGAACUAUAAGAUAUUGACUAUUAAAUCAUGUUAUUUUCUUCAUUUGUCAAAGUUAUUGGGAUGUAGCAAAUACUUGAGACUUUGAAUUGAGUAGAUUUUGAGUAGAUUUAUGAAUGAAAUCAAAGGACACACAAAAACAGUGUAAUUCACCCAUCUGGAGACUCCACGUAUGAGUUUGAAAACUUUUAGUAUGUAUGCCAAUUAGUCCAUCCAGCCAAAUAGGCACAACAAUUUUCCGAUAAUAAGAAAAAUAAGACCAAGAAGCUAGCUGGAAUACUAAGAAAAACAACAGAGGGAGUUAAAUUCUUCAUUAAAAUUGACCACUUCUAGAGGCCUUGCAGGAAAUAUUAAAAUAAGUUCUUCAAUGAGAAUGAAAAUGAUAUAGGUCAGAAACUUGGAUCUGCAUGAAGAUACACCUUAAAAAAGGAAGAGCAUCAGAAAAAUGAAUAAGUGAAGGUCAAGUGCUGUGCUGUACUGAUUGAUAGAUUGUCUCCAGCAGGAAGUUUGACAAUGGACAACCUAGAAGCAGAUGUGCCUGAUAAAUGUAAAUGGUAGCUUCUUUGUGGCCCUUCCACCAGAAGUGAAGAAGCCUGGUGCAGAGCUUCUACUUGACCUAUGAUAGAUAUGCUGCUGGAGAAGAAAUCAACCUCCUGGUUCCCACCCAUAUCUUGCUCUGGUUAGUCACAAUCAGAAUCUUCACAACCACAAUCAGAAUCUUCCCACAGCCCUACCUGCAACACCUGCUUGUCUCUGCCAUUACAAUAUAAGCCUGAGGACCUCAACAGAUGCACCUGCCCAAUCUUAAACUUUCCAGCAAUCUGAAUUGUGAGCCAAAUAAUUUUUUUAUAAAUUAUCCAGCUUCAAGUAUUAUACCAACAAAAAAAAGGAAAUGCAAUGAGUCAAUAUACUUACUGAGAUUGCAGAAGAGACUGAACACUGCGCUAGGCUCUGAAGAGAAAGAUGAAAAAGAAGAAAGUGCUCCUGAGUAUAUGACUACUUGUACUUGCUAGCACUGAGGCAAGUACAAACUCUAGGCAUCAGGCUUUUGGUCUCACUCUUAGCGAAUUUGAACACUGGCUUUUUUGUUGGGCUUCCAUUCUUCUCUCAGCGCAAGAAUACCAACGUUUAUGACCCAGGAAGCACCAACUUAUACUUCACAGAGCUAAGGUGGUCUGCAAAAUUUGCCUUCACAUUUGGAAGACUCAAAAUCUAAUUUUUGAAGGGGUAGAAAUUUGAAAUUGGAGCAAAACCAAAAUGAUAUCAAAGCAAGGCAGGUCCAGAGUGUGUGGAGCAGUUCCAAGACAGCAUCCUUGAAAGACCCAAGCAUCCCAAUAUGAACUCUCAGAGAAACAGAAGAGUUUUACCAAAUAUUUUGGCUCACUUUUAAUGAUAAAAGCAUCAGAAUUUGUGUUAGGCUUCAAAUAUAUACAUCAUUUAUGCUUCAUGUAUUAUCUGCAAGUUAGAAGCAUUUCAGAGAAAAAAAUAAGAACUUACCUUAACAUUCUAUUGGCCACACAGCUUUUCUGAGAAGAUUACAUUGAUUUGGGUAUGACAUCAAGAUGGUGAGACAUGAAAAUUGGCUAGCCAUAUGUAGAGACCUGAAACUGGAUCCCUUCCUUACACCUUAUACAA
This 1917-nucleotide long non-coding RNA is filed under the name Homo sapiens (human). Its description in RNAcentral is "HSALNT0306078". The record is from RNAcentral. Lineage: Eukaryota; Metazoa; Chordata; Mammalia; Primates; Hominidae.